UACGUAGGGUGCGAGCGUUGUCCGGAAUUAUUGGGCGUAAAGAGCUCGUAGGCGGUCUGUCGCGUCGAAUGUGAAAACCCGGGGCUCAACUCCGGGCUUGCAUUCGAUACGGGCAGGCUAGAGUUCGGUAGGGGAGUCUGGAAUUCCUGGUGUAGCGGUGAAAUGCGCAGAUAUCAGGAGGAACACCGGUGGCGAAGGCGGGACUCUGGGCCGAUACUGACGCUGAGGAGCGAAAGCGUGGGGAGCAAACAGG
Molecule: ribosomal RNA, 253 nt
Filed under: uncultured bacterium
Lineage: Bacteria
Description: partial 16S ribosomal RNA
Rfam family: Bacterial small subunit ribosomal RNA
Source: RNAcentral